Molecule: RNA transcript, 3203 nt
Organism: Bacillus rossius redtenbacheri
Lineage: Eukaryota; Metazoa; Arthropoda; Insecta; Phasmatodea; Bacillidae
Gene name: THAP domain-containing protein 2-like
Exons: 6
Source: RefSeq, a predicted model, not a curated record
AUACAAAGUUCAAAAUAACCACAACAACAAUAAUAAUAAAUCCGUGAAUUUUCAAAUAAUUGAUUUUGUUUCGCGAAAUGAAGUACACGGACGUUAAUUUCAUUGCAAAUAAUUUCAACCACCGGUUUCUUGAGUAAUUUUAUCGGUAACGCUGAAAAUGUCUUGUGUAGCUUUUGGCUGCAAAAACCGUUCGUCAAGAAAGUCAAAAAAGCAAACUAAGAAUGAAAGCGACAAUAAAAUCACUUUCCACAAAUAAGUUGACGUCUUCGAAAAUUUUUUAUUUAAUAUAUUUGCUAAAAUAAUGCAUAUGUUAGCACUUAUAUUCACCCUAACCAGCGUAGGUGUUUGGUUAUAAUGUAGAAAUAAAUUUUGUCACAAAUACGGUCUCAGAUAUAUUAUAAUGAAGCCUUUGGAUCCAAGUUAAAACAAAUAAUUCCUUUUUAAUCUGGAGGAGUUGUGAUUUUGCGUCUGUCAUUACAACUCCUACCUUAUUAUAACAUUUUUUUUCACUAAAUUCGUUUUCGGGUUUUGGGUACUACUGAUAAGAUAUUAGGUAGCAAAUUGUAGUUUGACAAAUAUUAACUCAAUUUUUGUGUGGCACCCCUAAAAAGUGUUAAUCCUUAACUUUGUCAGUAAAAUAAUAAUAAUAAAAAAACAUAAUAAGCAAUGAAUACUUAAGAGUUAAAGGCUUUAAAUUAAAUUCUGAAAAUAGUAUUGGUUGUUGGCUUUGUUUUACUAGCCUAAAACAUAUAUUUAAACUCUGACUAUAGUUUCUGUGUGUGUUUGUUGCUAAAUUGCGCUACUCAGCUUCCUGGAGUGCGAGUGGAGUGAGCACAGAUGGCACAACCAUCUUCCCGCUGUGUUUAUUGUCUAAGUUAGUUAAUUAUUUGGAAACAGUGAUAACACUUUUAGGUUUGGUGCCCUUACAAGAUGCUGGGGAUUUGCGAUAAAUUUUGUGAUUUCCCAAAGAUCCAGUUAGGCGUGCUCGGUGGAUAAAAGCUGUACGUAGGAAAGACUGGACACCGUCGUCAUUUAGUUUGCUGUGCUCACAGCAUUUUUCUGACGACUGUUUUGACAAAACAUCUCUUUGCGUGGUGAGAUUAAAGGACCAUGCUGUACCAUCGAUUUUCCCUGCAUACCCAGCACACUUGCAGAGGCGGCUGAAUAAGAAUGUUCGAAUACAGGAAAACUCGCUGAAUUUGGAACCUUUAGAAAUGGUAUCUGUUACAAUUAAGGACGAGGCUAUGGAUGAUUUAACGGAACUACACGUAGCACAGAUGAGACUGUAACACGAAACACCUGGUUUGUGAAGGCAGCGUAUGAAGACAGUCCAUCGUGCAAGCAGUUCAGAGAUGUUGCUUCAGGUAUGUGCCUCUGUGAAGAUGUAGGGUGAAGGUACCUUGAAGAGAAGUGAGCUCCGAUACCAUCUAGCUGUUGGCUUCUCGCUCUUAAAACAUGCAGGUAUGUCCUUUUGUGAAGGUAAAGACCGGUCUUUGUGGGAACUUAGUUGCUGAAAUAUUUCAUUGAUGUGCUACAAGUAAUACACUUUGUCACUUAAGGACUUGAAAAAUGUACUUUGUGAUUCCAUGUUUAUGAUUUAGUAGGAACCUCAAAGAAUGUAGUUUGUUCUGAUACCACUUAGCUGCUGACUCCUCACUUACAAACUAGAUAGUGUGCUUGGAGAGAGAGUAUUUAAUACCAGUUCUGUUGUGCCAUACAUAAACAGAACUUGUUUUGCACCUAUUGCUUAUUCAUUUAUCUCACAAAAAAAGUACGGACAUUAAAGAGGAAAGAAGCGUAAGUUGUGGCCAGGAUUUAAGUUCUUAGUUAUAUCUACAUGGCCUAGAUAGUUCAUAAAUUUUGCUAACUCUAAACUGGAAACAUUACAUGCCCUUUUAAGGAUUUUCAUGUGAGUUAUAUUACACCUACAGAAAUAGUAAAAUGAGGCUCACCUACAAAUAUGAACUCUGUGGGAUGUUGGUUUAAUUUACAGUUAUGUAUGACACACUCUUGAGGCUUGGGUAUUUCCGUUGAAGACAUUACAUGUAAUUUCUUUGAUAAAAGUAACGACUAAAACUAACAGUGACAGUCUGCCUGUUGUGACAUACUGCUCCUGGGAAAGCAUCCAUUUUAAGCACAAUAUCUAUAAGUAGAUGUGAUAUUUUCACAUAAAGUCAUCUGUUAAAAAUCAAUUCAAUAUCUUAUUGUUAUUUAAACAUACUAAAUUACUUUGAACUUGUUUCAGCUUUUGCUGUUCAAGACAUUAAGACUCUGGACAGAAACAACAAAAGCUGGAAUCAUUAAAUGUACUGACCUUUCAUUGGAAAUAGUCGACUAAACCAGUGGUUUCCACUGCUUGAAAGGGCCACUCACGAAACGAAAUGUUAAAACUUAAUACUUGUCUUAUAGCUUACAACUUAAUAGUGCAAAAUAAUUAAAAGAGAGGAAAGCUACUAGAUGGUGGUUGGCAGAUAAGUUUAUGCAUUAUUGUUAUUGGGUCUCUUACAACUGUAAGGUAAUGAAUGUUAAGAGUAUGCAAAUAAAAAUAUGUAUAUUUUUUUGAGUUUUACGUCUGCGAGUCAGCAAGAUCGUUGUACUAGUAGCCACAACAGCAGCAAAAAUCAGAAUUAUCAAGGAAGGAAGGAAUUUGCAACAUUAACAUUGAGUGAUUUUUGGGAAACAAUGGAAAACCAAAAGCAGGAUGGCUAUAUUCGACUCCAGGUCCUGUGAAUAUGGCAGCAGUGGUGCAGAUGAAAGCACUGGCCGAGGAGCCAAGACGUCGGCUCGCGAAGACGUGGAGCUCGCGCUUGCCGCUCUUCAGCACGACGGCAUGAGCUCCGCAGCGUACGGCAUCCCCUCCACCCUGCCGCGGCAGCGCGCCCGGAAAGAAGCCCCGACCAAGUCCUGGACGUAGGAGGACAUGAAGAGUGCCCUUGAGGCUCUGCGGACGGGUGUGCUCUCCGCCAGCAAGGCCAGCAAGGCUUACGGCAUUCCAAGCUACGUGCUGUGCAAGGUGGCGUACAGAGAGGGCGUACGCCUGGCACUACCCUUCAGCAUGGCUCCCACGACGUGGAGCGUGCUCUGACGGCGCUUCCUUAAAUACCAUAAAAUCCCUAGUAUUCGAAGGAUUCAAUAUGAGUUGAAAAAUAUGAUUGGAAAUGAAGUAAAUUAAAAAAUUCAGCAUUGAUAAGCUCUGAAGGUUA